AUGUACCACGCACCGACGGCCUCUACAGUUCCAACCCGGAGAAACCAUGCAUGCAGUGCUAGCACAACACGCUUGGUUUCCAUGAGCCUGCCUGCCUGCGCGCCGGCGCAGGGACCGACGGCGAACCCGUCUCGCCAGGACCGGCAUGUCGUGUGCACUGCCACGCGCUCUUGGCGUGGCGCCACCAACGGCGUCCCGUCUCCGUCGAUCGCACCACCACCACCACCACCACCGCUACCCGGCGCGGCCGCCGAAACAGUGCGUUUGCCUCGACGCCGCAACGCCCGCGGAGCCUACAGCUGCGUGUACGCCGCUCGUGCGUCAUGUCGCCGGUCGGUGCCACCGCUUAGUCUUCUUCUACAGUGA
This 366-nucleotide ribosomal RNA is filed under the name Triticum aestivum (bread wheat). RNAcentral's name for it is "partial small subunit ribosomal RNA". The record is from RNAcentral. Lineage: Eukaryota; Viridiplantae; Streptophyta; Magnoliopsida; Poales; Poaceae.